AUCUAUGGUGAUGGCACACUGAACACACCCAAUCUCAACUGACCUCAGAAGCCAGGCAGUGUCAGCUUGGUUAGUACUUGAUGGGAGAUAGUGAUUUGCACAAUCACAUUUCAUAGAUU
RNAcentral lists this ribosomal RNA (119 nucleotides) under Otolemur garnettii (small-eared galago). Lineage: Eukaryota; Metazoa; Chordata; Mammalia; Primates; Galagidae. The record is from RNAcentral.